AUGCCCAUACUGCGGAGACGUGACAUGUAUACAGCUCAUACUCUCCGCCACCAUUGGAGGGCGGUGUGGUUCAGCAAAUUCAUCUCGUAGCGUUAUGUAAACGCGUUUUUAUUUUAUACGAGGAACAUAAGAACAAUUGGAGCGCCGAAACUUGGAUUCUCUUUACAUUUGGACUUUCAGCAGUACAGGCCACUCUCUCCAAAAAGAUCCUAUUGGUGCCUGGAAGAGGAGCUAUAAAUAAACAAAUCUAUCUGCUGUAACAAAGAGAGACACUGAGCUCACGGUUAUGAUAGAGAAUGCCAUCGGAAGCAUGUCCCUACGAGAGGAGUGUGUCAGUACUGAUGUGUUAUUCAUCAAGCAGGGCGUGCAUGCAGUUGUCUGCCAGGAAACUGAUCGUCAGGCCAACACCAACAAAAAAUUCUGCAAUAGUCUGUCCAUCCCCCUCAGCUCCUUCUGUCUGACACCUCCUGCAUCCAAGCACCGCUUGCUUUUUAAGGCACUUAUGCUGUCUUUGAUUACUUGUCUCAGACACACUGCUCAAGGCAGCUUUCUGUAAUAUUACACUUUUCCUCACAACCAUGAGGUAAGUGUCUCACUUUGUUACACUUGAAAAAACACUUUGAUAAUAAGGAGCUGUUGUGUACUUUACUCACUCUGUACACCUAGGGCCUAAUUCAGAUGUGGUUGGAGGUAUGGCACAUGCCGCAAAGUACCGAUGUAUGGUAGUUUGCGCAUGCACCGGACCUUUACUGCGCUUAUGCAGUAAGGGUCUGCGACGUUGGAUGCAGAUCGGCAGCAGACUGUCAGUGUCGCAGUCAUUGUGGGGGGGGUGGUGAGGCAAGGAACUCUUUGUUGGAUAUGCUGUUGCCCACUUGCACGACCCCAUGGGUUACGCAGCUGUCCGAUGGUGUUGCAGAUGAUCCAAUGCUGCAUCCUAGGAUGCAGCUGAGAUCACUAAUGCAAGCAGAAGGCAUGGCUGCAUUACCAUAUUAGUGAUAUCGCUGCUGCUUCCCUGUAAGCAGCAGUGAUAGCAACGCCAGCCACAUUUGAAUAAGGCCCCUAGUCUUGAUCAGUGGCAUCAGGAUGGGGGUGCGGCCUGCACCCGGGUGUCAUCCUCAGAUGGGGUGACACCAAAAUUCCGGCUCCAUUGCAGUAACAGGAGUCGGUGCUGCAGUGUGACAUUCUCCGUCAAUACCCGCUCCCGUCAUUGAAGAGGAGCCGACACUGCAGGAAGCCCAGUCUCCGGAGGCAGCCCAGCAGAUACUGGAGUGCCACGGGCUACAGAGGACGCACCAGGUGACACCAGACUCGGUGAUGCCGCUGGUCUUGAUGAUCAUCACAGCCAGGGGCGAAUUUAGGGAUCAGGGCGCCCCUAGGCACAACAUUAUUGGUCGCUCCAUCACAUUAAUUUCAGAGUUGGUUCAAAUGCUUUCAGACUGCCAAAGCAGCCGAAACCUCCCCUUCCCCCUAAUUUACCCACCAUUGUCCCUGCCAGUUACAAAAUAUAAAAAUAAGUUGUAAUGACAAACAAAAAACUCCAAAAGAAUCAUCUGGCCUCAUCUGGCCAGUGGCCUUAUAGGCCUCCCAUGUAGGGGAGCAUGCUGUGCCCUUCCCCUAGCAAGUGUCACCCCUAGGUACAUGCCUCAUGUGCCUAGUGGGAAAUCCACCACUGAUCACAACCUGGCUACCAACAUAGUAAUGAAACUGACAUGAUCAUCAUCAAAGAAAGCGAUCCUGAGUAGUGGGGAGAUAAAAGGCUGCUUAUACAAUAGUGACAUUGUGCUGCUGAACUCACAUUUAGGACAGUACUUCUACUGAGAAGAGUAACUACCACCAUAGCAGUCUGUGCUGCUAUAGGGCCUGACUUUGUGUAUUAAGACCAAUGAUGCGUGGCAAUCUAGUUCACAUGGUCUUCUCAGCAUGGGUAAAGGAUGAGCCUGGUAGAGCCUUGUUUAGCUUUCAGUAGAUCUGUUGUGUGCAUGGGCAACUCCAGAGAAGCAAAAUUGGGGAUUUCGAUGCAUGAAGUAGAUAUAUAUCAUUGGAGCCCUCCCUCCAUUGGAAGGCUUCAUAAAGUGAGGUUAGUGUGCAUAGAUAGAUAAACAGACAGAUAUGUAUAUCCAUAUAGAUAAUUUUGUUCAUUAUAAGCUUUAGGAAUUAGAAAGCUUUAUUUGCAGCAGUUAAUACAUACUCAAAUGUCAGCAGUAUGAGUGCAGGGAAAAUGGGCUAUAUUUACGGAACACUGAACAGCAUGCUUUACUGGUGCCCAAGGGAGUUCCUAUAAUUAAUUUUACAUCAAGGAAAAUACUGCUCAGUGUCUGCUUGGAAGGGACUGGUUUCAGUCAACUGAUCUUUUGCUUUUUUAACCACUGUGGCAAAGAAUAAGGUCAACACAAUGCAAAAGAUGUGUGUAACAUGCUCUAUGAGUGGUUUCACUCUGCUGUGCUUGCCAUGUCAAUGUAGUGAUUAUAUUUACCAGGGUGAUUUUCUUUAUUAAGAUGUACCUUUGUGUGAUAAUGCAUAUAUACCAUGUACCUGUACCCCUAAAUCGUGUUCGAUAAUACUAUGCGCCUGUUAAUCCAAAUAAAUGCUUGCUAUGCCA
Pseudophryne corroboree (corroboree frog) is the source of this 2599-nucleotide long non-coding RNA. RefSeq lists it as uncharacterized. Lineage: Eukaryota; Metazoa; Chordata; Amphibia; Anura; Myobatrachidae. The record is from RefSeq and is a predicted model, not a curated record. The transcript has 3 exons.